This 626-nucleotide ribosomal RNA is filed under the name Ciliophora sp. RNAcentral describes it as "SSU rRNA". It matches the Rfam family "Eukaryotic small subunit ribosomal RNA", at positions 341 to 980 of the family's 1831-position model. The record is from RNAcentral. Lineage: Eukaryota; Ciliophora.
CUACCAUGGCGUUUACGGGUAACGGAGGAUUAGGGUUCGAUUCCGGAGAGGGAGCCUGAGAAACGGCUACCACAUCUAAGGAAGGCAGCAGGCGCGUAAAUUACCCAAUCCUGACUCAGGGAGGUAGUGACAAGAAAUAACGGACCGCGGCCUUCGGUCGACGGGAUUGCAAUGAGCCGAAUUUACACCCCUUAGCGAGGAUCGAUUGGAGGGCAAGUCUGGUGCCAGCAGCCGCGGUAAUUCCAGCUCCAAUAGCGUAUAUUAAAGUUGUUGCAGUUAAAAAGCUCGUAGUUGGAUUUCUGGGAGGGUGCCAAUGUCCGCUGAUUCGCGUGCGCAGCGGCGCCCUUCCAUCCUUCUGUUAACGACUCUUGGCAUUCAUUUGCUGGUGGCGGGCUCAGAUAUUUUACCUUGAGAAAAUUAGAGUGUUUCAGGCAGGCUAGGCCGGAAUACAUUAGCAUGGAAUAAUGGAAUAGGACUACGGUCUCUUUGUUGGUUUGAGGGGCUGCAGUAAUGAUUAAUAGGGAUAGUUGGGGGCAUUAGUAUUUAAUUGUCAGAGGUGGAAUUCUCGGAUUUGUUAAAGACUAACUUAUGCGAAAGCAUUUGCCAAGGAUGUUUUCAUUAAUCAA